Molecule: ribosomal RNA, 397 nt
Filed under: uncultured bacterium
Lineage: Bacteria
Description: bacterial SSU rRNA
Rfam family: Bacterial small subunit ribosomal RNA
Source: RNAcentral
GUUGAACGCUGGCGGCAUGCUUUACACAUGCAAGUCGAGCGGCAGCGCGGGGGCAACCCUGGCGGCGAGCGGCGAACGGGUGAGUAAUACAUCGGAACGUACCCCGUAGUGGGGGAUAACCCGGCGAAAGCCGGACUAAUACCGCAUAUGCUCUACGGAGGAAAGUGGGGGAUUCAGCAGGCAACUGAGGAACCUCACGCUAUGGGAGCGGCCGAUGUCCGAUUAGCUUGNGGCGGGGUAAAGGCCCACCAAGGCGACGAUCGGUAGCUGGUCUGAGAGGAUGAUCAGCCACACUGGGACUGAGACACGGCCCAGACUCCUACGGGAGGCAGCAGUGGGAAUUUUGGACAAUGGGGGCAACCCUGAUCCAGCCAUGCCGCGUGCGGGAAGAAGGCCU